GUAGUCUCGCACAGAUGCAUAUCAAUAAGCGGAGGAAAAGAAACUAACAAGGAUUCCCCUAGUAACGGCGAGUGAAGCGGGAAGAGCUCAAAUUUGAAAUCUUAAAGGGUUUCCCUUUACGAAUUGUAGUUUAAAGAAGUGUUUUCUGUUGAGGUUUUGGUAAAAGUUCUUUGGAAUAGGACAUCAUAGAGGGUGAGAAUCCCGUAUUUGACCUUUACUUUCAACUUUGUGAUACACUUUCAAAGAGUCGGAUUGUUUGGGAAUGCAGUCCAAAAUGGGUGGUAAAUUUCAUCUAAAGCUAAAUAUUGGCGAGAGACCGAUAGCGAACAAGUACCGUGAGGGAAAGAUGAAAAGAACUUUGAAAAGAGAGUUAAACAGUACGUGAAAUUGUCAAAAGGGAAGCGUUUGACACCAGUGUUGUUUUUCUGAAAAUCAAUUAAAGAACUGUUUAUGCUAAGCUGUUUAGACUUUAUCAGCUAACUGUUUAGUUUUGAGCUUUUCUUUAAUGCACUUUUCAGUUAACAAGUCAACAUCAAUUUCUUUUGCUGUAAAAAAGCUUGAGGAAGGUGGCUUGAGAUUCGUCUUAAGUGUUUAUAGCCUCUUGCCUAUGCAGUCGGAGAGAUUGAGGUCUGCAGCGUAGAUCCUUCGGGGCUAAAUGCAUUUGUGCUAAGUUAUAGGCAUUUUAUAGACAACUUGUUGACUAUGAUUUGUCUUGUAGCUUACUCGCUUAUGUUAUUUUACCUACGCUUAGGAUGUUGAGUAGCGACAUACGCAC
RNAcentral lists this ribosomal RNA (775 nucleotides) under uncultured Neocallimastigales. RNAcentral's name for it is "partial large subunit ribosomal RNA". It matches the Rfam family "Eukaryotic large subunit ribosomal RNA", at positions 24 to 649 of the family's 3401-position model. Lineage: Eukaryota; Fungi; Neocallimastigomycota; Neocallimastigomycetes; Neocallimastigales. The record is from RNAcentral.